RNAcentral lists this ribosomal RNA (89 nucleotides) under uncultured archaeon. Its description in RNAcentral is "partial 16S ribosomal RNA". The record is from RNAcentral.
CUCCCUCGUUGCUGAUCUCAGGCUCGAUAAUGCCAAAUCGCACCACCUCGCCUAAAAACCAACUUCGAUGAAGCGACGGGCGGUGUGUG